Molecule: long non-coding RNA, 486 nt
Organism: Mesocricetus auratus (golden hamster)
Lineage: Eukaryota; Metazoa; Chordata; Mammalia; Rodentia; Cricetidae
Exons: 2
Source: RefSeq, a predicted model, not a curated record
CACAGAAUGUCGAAGUCAUUAGGAUUCAGAUCCAGCCGGCUGAUGAGAUUCCAAAGUUGGAGCUACUCAGCACAAUCGUAAAGGCUUCAGGAGUUUUCAUGGUCUCGGGAUUUCUUUUGCUUUUGUUGUUCUUUGAUUGGAGUGCGCUGUCCCGGAGGACUUGCGUUGUCCCGGAGGACUUGAACUGGGGCCUGAAGUGGUGUGCCGGCAGGUCUGGUUACAAAGAAUCCCACAGGCUACAAAGGCAGAGCUGGUACAGGACAGGGCUUGCAGGAACCACACUACAUACUGACAGCCUUGUGGACUCUGAGGCUGCCCUGGGAUCCAUCACUCACCCUGAGAGAUGCUGAGGCCUUGGAGACUGUGCAGGAAGAAGAACUUUGCCGGUCUUGGACUUCCUGUCUGCUUUGCCCACUGCUAAUCAAUGUGUGCCUAGAGUACUACCUGGCACACAGUAUGUGUUCAAUAAAUAUUUGCUACACGGAU